CCUACGGGAGGCAGCAGUGAGGAAUAUUGGUCAAUGGCCGGGAGGCUGAACCAGCCAAGUCGCGUGAGGGAAGACGGCCCUACGGGUUGUAAACCUCUUUUGUCAGGGAGCAAGGUGCAGGUCGGGACCUGCUGUGAGAGUACCUGAAGAAAAAGCAUCGGCUAACUCCGUGCCAGCAGCCGCGGUAAUACGGAGGAUGCGAGCGUUAUCCGGAUUUAUUGGGUUUAAAGGGUGCGCAGGCGGAGGCACAAGUCAGCGGUAAAAUCGCGGGGCUCAACCCCGCUCCGCCGUUGAAACUGUGGCCCUUGAGUGCGCGAAGGGUAGGCGGAAGGCGUGGUGUAGCGGUGAAAUGCAUAGAUAUCACGCAGAACUCCGAUCGCGAAGGCAGCCUACCGGCGCGCAACUGACGCUCAUGCACGAAAGCGUGGGUAUCGAACAGGAUUAGAUACCCUAGUAGUC
Molecule: ribosomal RNA, 459 nt
Filed under: uncultured bacterium
Lineage: Bacteria
Description: partial 16S ribosomal RNA
Rfam family: Bacterial small subunit ribosomal RNA
Source: RNAcentral